GACGAACGCUGGCGGCGUGCUUAACACAUGCAAGUCGAACGGAAAGGCCUCUUUCGGGGGGUACUCGAGUGGCGAACGGGUGAGUAACACGUGAGUAACCUGCCCUUGACUUUGGGAUAACUUCAGGAAACUGGGGCUAAUACCGGAUAGGAGCUCCUGCUGCAUGGUGGGGGUUGGAAAGUUUCGGCGGUCGGGGAUGGACUCGCGGCUUAUCAGCUUGUUGGUGGGGUAGUGGCUUACCAAGGCUUUGACGGGUAGCCGGCCUGAGAGGGUGACCGGCCACAUUGGGACUGAGAUACGGCCCAGACUCCUACGGGAGGCAGCAGUGGGGAAUAUUGCACAAUGGGUGGAAGCCUGAUGCAGCAACGCCGUGUGCGGGAUGACGGCCUUCGGGUUGGAAACCGCUUUCGCUCAUGACGAAGCUUUGUGUGACGGUAGUGGGUAAAGAAGCACCGGCUAACUACGUG
This 467-nucleotide ribosomal RNA is filed under the name uncultured bacterium. RNAcentral's name for it is "partial 16S ribosomal RNA". It matches the Rfam family "Bacterial small subunit ribosomal RNA", at positions 28 to 507 of the family's 1533-position model. The record is from RNAcentral.